GAGCGAUGGAAGCUUGCUUCUAUCAAUCUUAGUGCCGAUCGGGUGAGUAACGCGUAAUCAACCUGCCCUUCAGAGGGGGACAACAGUUGGAAACGACUGCUAAUACCGCAUACGAUCCAAUCUCGGCAUCGAGACUGGAUGAAAGGUGGCCUCUAUUUAUAAGCUAUCACUGAAGGAGGGGAUUGCGUCUGAUUAGCUAGUUGGAGGGGUAACGGCCCACCAAGGCGAUGAUCAGUAGCCGGUCUGAGAGGAUGAACGGCCACAUUGGGACUGAGACACGGCCCAGACUCCUACGGGAGGCAGCAGUGGGGAAUCUUCCGCAAUGGACGAAAGUCUGACGGAGCAACGCCGCGUGAGUGAUGACGGCCUUCGGGUUGUAAAGCUCUGUCAAUCGGGACGAAUGGUUCUUGUGUGAAUAGUGCGAGGAUUUGACGGUACCGGAAUAGAAAGCCACGGCUAACUACGUGCCAGCAGCCGCGGUAAUACGUAGGUGGCAAGCGUUGUCCGGAAUUAUUGGGCGUAAAGCGCGCGCAGGCGGAUUGGUCAGUCUGUCUUAAAAGUUCGGGGCUUAACCCCGUGAUGGGAUGGAAACUGCCAAUCUAGAGUAUCGGAGAGGAAAGUGGAAUUCCUAGUGUAGCGGUGAAGUGCGUAGAUAUUAAGAAGAACACCAGUGGCG
This 676-nucleotide ribosomal RNA is filed under the name uncultured bacterium. RNAcentral's name for it is "bacterial SSU rRNA". It matches the Rfam family "Bacterial small subunit ribosomal RNA", at positions 68 to 717 of the family's 1533-position model. The record is from RNAcentral.